GCUCACCCACGCUGAUGCCCGAGCGAGCCACUGCGACUCGCUGCCGGUUCUCGUCCACGUCUGCAGGCGCCGGCGCAGUUCGUCCUUGCCUCGCGGAUGCUUGCGCUAGAUACCGCAGCUCGCUGCGGGUUCUCCCCCACGCCUGCGCGCGAUAGCGCAGCUCUUUGCGGGUGCUUGCCAUCCCCUCGGCUCAUUGGCGCAGCUCACCCUCCCCUGCUGGAGAAGUGUUUUAGUGGCGAGGGUGGUGCUGAAGAGAAGACGAUGCCUUGUGCAGGUCCUGAGCAAGUGGCGUGAUGGCAGCAGCGGCCGGAGGAGAAGACGAUGCCUUGUGCAGGUCCUGAGCAAGUGGCGUGAUGGCAGCAGCGGCCGGAGGAGGAGAUGGAUGCGUGUGUAGGUCCUGAAGAUGUUGAAUGCAAGCAACAUGUAAGUCACGUUUGUUGUAAUCUUUUGCUUGAUUAUGGAUUGCGAUUUGGAAAUUA
Triticum urartu is the source of this 479-nucleotide non-coding RNA. Lineage: Eukaryota; Viridiplantae; Streptophyta; Magnoliopsida; Poales; Poaceae. The record is from RefSeq and is a predicted model, not a curated record.